Molecule: ribosomal RNA, 431 nt
Filed under: uncultured bacterium
Lineage: Bacteria
Description: bacterial SSU rRNA
Rfam family: Bacterial small subunit ribosomal RNA
Source: RNAcentral
AACGAACGCUGGCGGCAGGCUUAACACAUGCAAGUCGAACGGGUGUAGCAAUACAUCAGUGGCAGACGGGUGAGUAACACGUGGGAACCUUCCUAGGGGUACGGAACAACUCAGGGAAACUUGAGCUAAUACCGUAUACGUCCGUAAGGAGAAAGAUUCAUCGCCCCUAGACGGGCCCGCGUCGGAUUAGGUAGUUGGUGGGGUAACGGCCUACCAAGCCUACGAUCCGUAGCUGAUCUGAGAGGANGAUCAGCCACACUGGGACUGAGACACGGCCCAGACUCCUACGGGAGGCAGCAGUGGGGAAUCUUGGACAAUGGGCGGCAAGCCUGAUCCAGCCAUGCCGCGUGAGUGAAGAAGGCCUUAGGGUUGUAAAGCUCUUUUACCAGGGACGAUAAUGACGGUACUGGAGAAUAAGCCCCGGCAAACUU